RNAcentral lists this unclassified non-coding RNA (593 nucleotides) under Bombus terrestris (buff-tailed bumblebee). RNAcentral's name for it is "misc RNA ENSBTSG00005037576.1". Lineage: Eukaryota; Metazoa; Arthropoda; Insecta; Hymenoptera; Apidae. The record is from RNAcentral.
ACCCCAACCUAACCCCAACCUUUUUUUUUUUUUUUUUUUUUUUAUACGUGGGGAAAUCCUCAUGGACACCCGGGCGCCACCAGACGCGUCCGGGUAGUGUCGGACUCUUACCGACUAAAACCCCACGAUGACCAUCCUGGCGUCUUGUGGACUUAGGGUAGGUUCUCUUGCGAAUACGACCACCGCUUGUAGUCCGACGCCGCUGGUGUUGUCCUCCGAGAUGUUGUUCCGGAGCCAGAGGCAGGUCAUCCACCUCUGGCCACGUCGCCGUUGCCUACUUUCAGCCUCCGGGUCCCCCCAUUGGCGUCCGAGCUUCGUCCAUCUGCAGGUUUCAUCGGGGGGAGGGGGGAGAACUCGCCGUUCGGGGGCACCAAUCCCUACUAGGCGCUCUUGCCCCCACCCAGCCGGAAACUCUCGUCGGCGUACCACGAUGUCGCCCACAGGUGAAACGGUUGUCCCCCAAACCGACUUCCCCACCCGAACAUCCUCCUGGUGGCCCGUACUGCUUCCUCCUGGUUUGGGGUGCCCUCUAGUCUCUCCUGGUCCUUGGUGGAAUCCGAAAAAACCGGAUUUGGUCACCGCAAUCCAAAGCG